GUGGCCGUGGAGUGUCAAUUUGCUGACGUUAUUUCGAAACUUUGAAUCAAACAAAACGAAAGCCCGUUUUCUAUUACCUGUUAUUUUCAAUUACUUGUUUUAAUUGAUUAGUUAAUCAGAACUUUUAACGUGUGAGAUUACAAGUACUUGAGCAGCAGUGAUACCAUUCGGAGGGAGAUGUUAUUACUGUGUUCCUUUCGGAUUGAAUAGUUCGGUAAUGAAGCCGGAGACCAUAAGAUACUUUUAUUGGUGAUGCGGAGAUGCCGGUGUUGGAUAAAGUCAGGAGUCACACGACACCAGAUGCUGCCAGACCUUUUCCAGCAACUUCUGUUUUUGUUCCUGAACUCUGAGUUUGAAGGACAGGUUCAAGUCCCACUUGCCGCGGAGGAGUGGCACAACACAUCCAAACAGAAUGCUUCUUUAGGAGAAUGUUAUGCAGACAUGGUGACACCCAGUUCAGUCGCAGCCCAGAAGCCUAGCGUAACAAGAACAGCACUUGACAGCUCAAGGUUCAAAAUCAUGUUAUGUGACCUCCAAAU
Molecule: long non-coding RNA, 539 nt
Organism: Rhincodon typus (whale shark)
Lineage: Eukaryota; Metazoa; Chordata; Chondrichthyes; Orectolobiformes; Rhincodontidae
Exons: 3
Source: RefSeq, a predicted model, not a curated record